UCAGUUCCAAAAAAAUGAGUCGCUUUGUUGC
Molecule: non-coding RNA, 31 nt
Filed under: Homo sapiens (human)
Lineage: Eukaryota; Metazoa; Chordata; Mammalia; Primates; Hominidae
Source: RNAcentral